Long non-coding RNA from Talpa occidentalis (Iberian mole), 442 nucleotides. RefSeq lists it as uncharacterized. The record is from RefSeq and is a predicted model, not a curated record. NCBI's taxonomy places the organism in Eukaryota, Metazoa, Chordata, Mammalia, Eulipotyphla, Talpidae. The transcript has 4 exons.
UAUGAGAAAACAUUUGGCAGUUUUUCAGGGACUGUGGAGCCAGGGAGAGAUGCCAGAAGACUAUAGAUUGGUACACACUGUUCCAAUUUUUGAAAAGGAAAAGAAAGUUGAUUCGGCAAACUAUACAUGCCAGUCCCGGGCAAAGUUCUUGAAGGGAAAUUUGUGAACAUGAAAGAGGGGAAGGAAGUAAUUAUGGGUACCAGCAAGUUUUCACUGAGAAGAAAUUAUUCCAGAUGAAACUCACUUCCUUUUUUUGCGAAGAUUUCCCUUAGUGAAAAACAAGUUCCUGAACUGCAGAAUUCAACUCAGGUCGUCGUUGGCAGGCUGACCCAGACUUGCUGAGGACUCAACAAGAUUGGCUGUCAGGAGAGGAGUUUCCUUGGCCAGUCACCCUAAAUCCACUGGCAAGGAGAGGGCAGGGAGAGAGGCACACCAGAACCCC